CCCUUAGAUGUCCUGGGCCGCACGCGCGCUACACUGAACGGAUCAGCGCGUUUUCCCUUCCCGAGAGGGACGGGUAACCUGCUGAACCCCGUUCGUGGUAGGGAUCGGGGCUUGCAAUUAUUCCCCGUGAACCAGGAAUGCCCAGUAAGUGCAAGUCAUAAGCUUGCGUUGAUUACGUCCCUGCCCUUUGUACACACCGCCCGUCGCACCUACCGAUUGAAUGGUCCGGUGAAAUCUCGGGACGGCGGCUCGGGCGCUUGCGUCCGACUGCUGAAACUUGAUUAAACCAUAUCAUUUAGAGGAAGGUGAAGUCGUAACA
This 319-nucleotide ribosomal RNA is filed under the name uncultured eukaryote. RNAcentral's name for it is "partial 18S ribosomal RNA". It matches the Rfam family "Eukaryotic small subunit ribosomal RNA", at positions 1470 to 1796 of the family's 1831-position model. The record is from RNAcentral.